This 492-nucleotide ribosomal RNA is filed under the name uncultured bacterium. Its description in RNAcentral is "partial 16S ribosomal RNA". It matches the Rfam family "Bacterial small subunit ribosomal RNA", at positions 29 to 507 of the family's 1533-position model. The record is from RNAcentral.
AGUGAACGCUGGCGGUAGGCCUAACACAUGCAAGUCGAACGGCAGCACAGUAAGAGCUUGCUCUUACGGGUGGCGAGUGGCGGACGGGUGAGGAAUACAUCGGAAUCUACUUUUUCGUGGGGGAUAACGUAGGGAAACUUACGCUAAUACCGCAUACGACCUACGGGUGAAAGCAGGGGAUCUUCGGACCUUGCGCGAUUGAAUGAGCCGAUGUCGGAUUAGCUAGUUGGCGGGGUAAAGGCCCACCAAGGCGACGAUCCGUAGCUGGUCUGAGAGGAUGAUCAGCCACACUGGAACUGAGACACGGUCCAGACUCCUACGGGAGGCAGCAGUGGGGAAUAUUGGACAAUGGGCGCAGGCCUGAUUCAGCCAUACCGCGUGGGUGAAGAAGGCCUUCGGGUUGUAAAGCCCUUUUGUUGGGAAAGAAAAGCAGCAGGUUAAUACCCCGCUGUUCUGACGGUACCCAAAGAAUAAGCACCGGCUAACUUCGUG